GGGAGAAUUAUACAAAGAACAAAGAAGUGGGCAUCUGCUGACAUGGGGGCCGAAGUCAGGCGCCAGGCAGCGGGCACUUUGC
RNAcentral lists this microRNA precursor (82 nucleotides) under Mus musculus (house mouse). Its description in RNAcentral is "predicted gene, 54990 (ENSMUSG00002074975.1)". The record is from RNAcentral. Lineage: Eukaryota; Metazoa; Chordata; Mammalia; Rodentia; Muridae.